GAUGAACGCUGGCGGCGUGCUUAAUACAUGCAAGUCGAACGAAAAGGCGAGGAUCUUGCUGCUCGCACGUGAGGCGCGGACGUGUGAAUAACACGAGUAUAACCUACCUAUAAUACUGGUAUAACUUCGGGAAAGCGGAUCUAACAGCGGAUAAUAUAUUGAAGCACAUGGUUCAAUAGUGAAAGACGGUUUUGCUGUCACGUAUAGAUGGAUCCGCGCUGGUUUAGCUAGUUGUCACGGUAACGGCUUACCAAGGCAACGAUGCGUAGCCGACGGGCGAGGGUGAUAGGCGACUCUGGAAGUGAGCCACGGUCCAGACUACUACGGGAGGCAGCAGUCGGGAAUCUUAGGCAAUGGGGGAAAGUUUGGCGCAGCGAGCCGGAGUGUGAGAUGAAGGCCUUGCGAGCGUAAUAAUCUGUUAUUAGGGAAGAACCAAUGUGGACGUAAACAUGGAGGUAUUGACGGUACCUGCUAAGAAAGCACCGGCUAACUACGUG
RNAcentral lists this ribosomal RNA (497 nucleotides) under uncultured bacterium. RNAcentral describes it as "partial 16S ribosomal RNA". It matches the Rfam family "Bacterial small subunit ribosomal RNA", at positions 28 to 507 of the family's 1533-position model. The record is from RNAcentral.